Molecule: ribosomal RNA, 577 nt
Filed under: uncultured Ehrlichia sp.
Lineage: Bacteria; Pseudomonadati; Pseudomonadota; Alphaproteobacteria; Rickettsiales; Anaplasmataceae
Description: bacterial SSU rRNA
Rfam family: Bacterial small subunit ribosomal RNA
Source: RNAcentral
CCCGAGAGGGGAAAGAUUUAUCGCGAUGUAUGAUAGAGCCUACGUUAGAUUAGCUAGUUGGUGAGGUAAUGGCUUACCAAGGCUAUGAUCUAUAGCUGGUCUGAGAGGACGAUCAGCCACACUGGAACUGAGAUACGGUCCAGACUCCUACGGGAGGCAGCAGUGGGGAAUAUUGGACAAUGGGCGAAAGCCUGAUCCAGCUAUGCCGCGUGAGUGAAGAAGGCCUUCGGGUUGUAAAACUCUUUCAAUAGGGAAGAUAAUGACGGUACCUAUAGAAGAAGUCCCGGCAAACUCUGUGCCAGCAGCCGCGGUAAUACGGAGGGGGCAAGCGUUGUUCGGAAUUAUUGGGCGUAAAGGGCACGUAGGUGGACUAGUAAGUUAAAAGUGAAAUACCAAAGCUUAACUUUGGAGCGGCUUUUAAUACUGCUAGACUAGAGGUCGAAAGAGGAUAGCGGAAUUCCUAGUGUAGAGGUGAAAUUCGUAGAUAUUACGAGGAACACCAGUGGCGAAGGCGGCUAUCUGGUUCGAUACUGACACUGAGGUGCGAAAGCGUGGGGAGCAAACAGGAUUAGAUACC